This 75-nucleotide transfer RNA is filed under the name Lactococcus garvieae. RNAcentral describes it as "tRNA-OTHER". It matches the Rfam family "tRNA". Rfam says of the family: Transfer RNA (tRNA) molecules are approximately 80 nucleotides in length. Their secondary structure includes four short double-helical elements and three loops (D, anti-codon, and T loops). Further hydrogen bonds mediate the characteristic L-shaped molecular structure. tRNAs have two regions of fundamental functional importance: the anti-codon, which is responsible for specific mRNA codon recognition, and the 3' end, to which the tRNAs corresponding amino acid is attached (by aminoacyl-tRNA synthetases). tRNAs cope with the degeneracy of the genetic code in two manners: having more than one tRNA (with a specific anti-codon) for a particular amino acid; and 'wobble' base-pairing, i.e. permitting non-standard base-pairing at the 3rd anti-codon position. The record is from RNAcentral. Lineage: Bacteria; Bacillati; Bacillota; Bacilli; Lactobacillales; Streptococcaceae.
GCGGUCAUGGUCUAAGGGAAAGGCGCUUGUAUAGAGGGGAUACAAGAGAUAUGGGUUCGAUUCCUGUUGAUCGCA